This 75-nucleotide transfer RNA is filed under the name Microbacterium sp. RNAcentral describes it as "tRNA-Arg". It matches the Rfam family "tRNA". From Rfam's summary of the family: Transfer RNA (tRNA) molecules are approximately 80 nucleotides in length. Their secondary structure includes four short double-helical elements and three loops (D, anti-codon, and T loops). The record is from RNAcentral. Lineage: Bacteria; Bacillati; Actinomycetota; Actinomycetes; Micrococcales; Microbacteriaceae.
GCCCCGAUAGCUCAGCGGACAGAGCAGCCGGCUUCUACCCGGUGCGCGCGGGUUCGAUUCCUGCUCGGGGCACGA